Molecule: ribosomal RNA, 497 nt
Filed under: uncultured bacterium
Lineage: Bacteria
Description: partial 16S ribosomal RNA
Rfam family: Bacterial small subunit ribosomal RNA
Source: RNAcentral
GAUGAACGCUGGCGGCGUGCCUAAUACAUGCAAGUCGAGCGAACGGACGAGAAGCUUGCUUUUCUGAUGUUAGCGGCGGACGGGUGAGUAACACGUGGAUAACCUACCUAUAAGACUGGGAUAACUUCGGGAAACCGGAGCUAAUACCGGAUAAUAUUUUGAACCGCAUGGUUCAAAAGUGAAAGACGGUCUUGCUGUCACUUAUAGAUGGAUCCGCGCUGCAUUAGCUAGUUGGUAAGGUAACGGCUUACCAAGGCAACGAUGCAUAGCCGACCUGAGAGGGUGAUCGGCCACACUGGAACUGAGACACGGUCCAGACUCCUACGGGGGGCAGCAGUAGGGAAUCUUCCGCAAUGGGCGAAAGCCUGACGGAGCAACGCCGCGUGAGUGAUGAAGGUCUUCGGAUCGUAAAACCCUGUUAUUAGGGAAGAACAUAUGUGUAAGUAACUGUGCACAUCUUGACGGUACCUAAUCAGAAAGCCACGGCUAACUACGUG